This 569-nucleotide ribosomal RNA is filed under the name Urophycis chuss (red hake). RNAcentral describes it as "partial 16S ribosomal RNA". It matches the Rfam family "Bacterial large subunit ribosomal RNA", at positions 1820 to 2600 of the family's 2925-position model. The record is from RNAcentral. Lineage: Eukaryota; Metazoa; Chordata; Actinopteri; Gadiformes; Phycidae.
CUCUUGCCCUCCCCUUAUAAGAGGUCCCGCCUGCCCUGUGACUAUAUGUUUAACGGCCGCGGUAUUUUAACCGUGCGAAGGUAGCGUAAUCACUUGUCUUUUAAAUGAAGACCUGUAUGAAUGGCAUCACGAGGGCUUAACUGUCUCCCCCCUCCAGUCAAUGAAAUUGACCUCCCCGUGCAGAGGCGGGGAUUAAAACAUAAGACGAGAAGACCCUGUGGAGCUUAAGACCUAAUAUAAUUUAUGUUUAGUACACUAAAAUAACAGCUAAAACUCAAUAAUAAUUAUAGAGGUGUCUUUGGUUGGGGCGACCGCGGGGUACAACAAAACCCCCACGUGGAUUGGGAGAAUUACUCCUAGCACCCAGAGCCGCUACUCCAAGUAACAGAAUUUCUGACUUUAUGAUCCGGUAUAACCGAUCAACGGACCGAGUUACCCCAGGGAUAACAGCGCAAUCCUCUCUCAGAGCCCAUAUCGACGAGGGGGUUUACGACCUCGAUGUUGGAUCAGGACAUCCUAAUGGUGCAGCCGCUAUUAAGGGUUCGUUUGUUCAACGAUUAAAUCCAACG